This 253-nucleotide ribosomal RNA is filed under the name uncultured bacterium. Its description in RNAcentral is "partial 16S ribosomal RNA". It matches the Rfam family "Bacterial small subunit ribosomal RNA", at positions 524 to 776 of the family's 1533-position model. The record is from RNAcentral.
GACGAACCGUGCGAACGUUGUUCGGAAUAACUGGGCUUAAAGGGUGCGUAGGCGGGUCCGCCAGUCUGUGGUGAAAUCCUCCCGCUCAACGGGAGAACUGCCGUGGAUACUGCGGACCUCGAGGAAGAUAGGGGCGUGCGGAACAGUUGGUGGAGCGGUGAAAUGCGUUGAUAUCAACUGGAACUCCGGUGGCGAAGGCGGCACGCUGGGUCUUUUCUGACGCUGAGGCACGAAAGCGGGGGGAGAAAAAGGG